This 490-nucleotide ribosomal RNA is filed under the name uncultured bacterium. RNAcentral describes it as "partial 16S ribosomal RNA". It matches the Rfam family "Bacterial small subunit ribosomal RNA", at positions 30 to 507 of the family's 1533-position model. The record is from RNAcentral.
AUUGAACGCUGGCGGCAUGCUUUACACAUGCAAGUCGGACGGCAGCACAGAGAAGCUUGCUUCUUGGGUGGCGAGUGGCGAACGGGUGAGUAACAUAUCGGAACGUACCGAGCAGUGGGGGAUAACUAAUCGAAAGAUUAGCUAAUACCGCAUAUCUUCUGAGGAAGAAAGCAGGGGACCAUUUGGCCUUGCGCUGUUUGAGCGGCCGAUAUCUGAUUAGCUAGUUGGUGGGGUAAAGGCCUACCAAGGCGCCGAUCAGUAGCGGGUCUGAGAGGAUGAUCCGCCACACUGGGACUGAGACACGGCCCAGACUCCUACGGGAGGCAGCAGUGGGGAAUUUUGGACAAUGGGCGCAAGCCUGAUCCAGCCAUGCCGCGUGUCUGAAGAAGGCCUUCGGGUUGUAAAGGACUUUUGUCAGGGAAGAAAAGGGCGGGGUUAAUACCCCUGUCUGAUGACGGUACCUGAAGAAUAAGCACCGGCUAACUACGUG